CGAAAGCGCCCCCAACGUGACCUAUGUCACCAAGACGCUUCUACAAAACGCGCUAUCCAGGCACCGGAGGAUCAUUUGCUCAGCGGUGGUGGCGAGGGAAACAGUCGGCUCGUGACUAACUGCUAUCGUCUGACUUUGCAGUUACUGCCCAAAUGUGGUUACCGAUCGGCGCCUGCUGCCCCUUUCAUUUCUUCAACGCCAUAUCAAGAAUCCGGAAGCCGUAUCAAGAAUCGAAAGCGCCCCCAACGUGACCUAUGUCACCAAGACGCUUCUACAAAACGCGCUAUCCAGGCACCGGAGGACCAUUUGCUCAGCGGUGGUGGCGACGGAAACAGUCGGCUCAUGACUAACUCCUAUCGUCUGACUUUGCAGAGAAAAGAAGAGGGCGCCGACCUGGCAUCAACUCGCUGCGGCUUGCUCUGGUUUAAUCAAAGCUUCUUUGGACAUCAAGACACCACGGCUCCGGUGGUUGAGCCACGCGCAGCUGGUGCUGUUAACCAUGCGUGGCACACCACACUCAGUUACUCUAAAUACGUGCAGCAAUGUAUACAUACGGCGGAGCUAAUGACAGCUAACCAAAAGCUGAACGCGAGAAGCUGCUGCCGCUACACUGAAGGUCUUAAUUGACAAUGCUAAAAACCAAGCAACAAUCAAAUCCCAUAUGUACACUUCAUGCUAGUAAAAACUAGCCUUCACUGGCCCGAA
This 705-nucleotide long non-coding RNA is filed under the name Dermacentor andersoni. Its description in RNAcentral is "uncharacterized LOC126547633". The record is from RNAcentral. Lineage: Eukaryota; Metazoa; Arthropoda; Arachnida; Ixodida; Ixodidae.